Molecule: long non-coding RNA, 1399 nt
Filed under: Canis lupus familiaris (dog)
Lineage: Eukaryota; Metazoa; Chordata; Mammalia; Carnivora; Canidae
Description: lncRNA (ENSCAFG00030014410.1)
Source: RNAcentral
UUAUUUUGCUAAUUAGUCAAAAAUCAUUGGCUUUCCCGUGGCUUCUUCCUGCUGAGCAAUCAUUUGAUCUUGCUUAUGUUGACAAACACACACGUCACCAAUUCUGCCUCAUUUAUCGUUUGACAGGGACAGUGUUUGCUUCUUCGUGUGUAAAGAAAGGAAAACUAAGUGUAAGCAGAUACCUCAGACUCAUUUUCUUGCAAAUAAAUAAAUAAAUAAAUAAAUAAAUAAAUAAAUAAAAUACUGCAACGUGUUGUUUUCUAACAAACUGGCUUUUGUGUGCGCUGGUAAAUGACAACAUGGAUUUUAUAUCCCUUAUGAACAAACCAAAUCGGAACGUAAGCAAAAUUGGUAUACUUCAUAAUGAGAGAGGAAGCAACUGAUAACCUAGCAAAAGACUGAAAAAUCUUAUUAAAUAGUCAGAGACGUGGAAUGUUCUUUUUUCUAUUUGAAUUAAUAAUAUUGAACAUACAUUUGGCUAGAAAAAGAGAAAAAGGACUUUCUUGUCUCUAUUUGGUUAAAAUAUAAGAAAAAUGUUACAUUCUGUGUAAGACAGACUUUCAAAUUCAGUGUGACGAUCAUUUGAAAUUCCAAUCAGGCUGCUUAGAUUCUGUUGCUAAAAAAAAAGAAGAAGAAGAAGGCAGUAUCUAAAAUAAAGUAUCUAAUAACUACUUGGGGAAAAGUAUAUUUGCUUCUAUAGAAGAAUGCAUCAGAUAGAGCUUAGCAAAAUUUUGUGGUUUUGGUAGCCCUGGCCAGUUAAUAGGAUCAAAUGCUUGGUUGACUGAUUGAUUAUUUAUGCAGAAAUCACCAUUAUGAUAAGAAAAAAGAAGUCGCCUCAAAGGUUCCAAAUAGGCGAGCGUGGAUAAAAACGAAUGCCUCCAAAUUGAGCCUGGAAACCAACUUGACAUCAAUUUGUAAAUUCAAACACCGAUACCGCGUCAGAGAGGAAGGCUUCUUCGGUUCUGCUUCUGGCAAACGCCGCAGGUCGCCUGACCUACGUGGAGUUCUACGUCGUUCUACCUUCGGACGAGUCCAUGCUCAGGCAGGCCCUGACCUGACCCCGCUCCCCGAUCUGGGCGCCCUCUGCAUGCGGGUACCCCGCGAGGCAGCCUCCCCGCCUUUCCUCUGACACCUGGUUCCAGAGGGACCCGGGAGGAGAGAAGGGGGUGGGCCUGGCGGGAAUCGCUCAGGGUCACCUCACUGCCCCCUGCGUUUGCUGAACGCCAGCAACGUACCAGCCUCCGCCGAGCUGGCAGAGAUGAAGCGGGUGUAACUCCAGGCCCCAAGGGCCUCUGGUGGGAAAGAUGGGCAAAAACCCAAAACAUCAGUCAGCAUGUGGGAGAGAUGCUAAAAAUAAAAGAAUAAAUGACCAAGUGAAAAGGCUCAGAUGAUAGGCAAG